GCCGGAGUGGCGGAAUGGCAGACGCGCGGGAUUCAAAAUCCCGUCUUCGCAAGAAGGUAAGGGUUCAAGUCCCUUCUCCGGCACCA
Molecule: transfer RNA, 86 nt
Filed under: Candidatus Omnitrophota bacterium
Lineage: Bacteria; Pseudomonadati; Candidatus Omnitrophota
Description: tRNA-Leu
Rfam family: tRNA
About the family: Transfer RNA (tRNA) molecules are approximately 80 nucleotides in length. Their secondary structure includes four short double-helical elements and three loops (D, anti-codon, and T loops).
Source: RNAcentral